UUGAUGUCCCUCCAUUAGGGUUCCAUUGCCUGGGUCCGAGGCUUUACUCUCUGCUAAAAUGUGGAUGCUUCUGGGAGAGGGAAUUUUGUGCCAGUUGCACAAGCAUUUUCUAGUGGCUUUUUCAGUGCAGAGGCCUCACCUGCACGCCUAAACAGUCUCCCUUCUUUAGUAGAGCAGAUGGAUGCCUGCACGAUGCUAGGAAUGCUGGUGAGCUGGUGUCCAGAGCCUCCUGUGAAGGCAUUGUUCACAUUCUUCCCUGAGAUGAGGUUUCCACCGGGGAAGGAUGCCCAAGGCCAUGGAUUCCUAAGAGCCCUGGGAGGGAGGUCCCUGCAGGAGAAGGAUGGGAAAAGGAGCAGAAGGAAGAGCCCUUUAUGGUUUCCAAAUCACAGAGGAGGAAGCUGAAGCCCAGAGAAGUUAGCCCCUGGGUAGAAAGAGCAUCUGGGAACUGAGAGCCAGAUAAUGGCUUGAGGACUUCCUCCCUGCCUUCCCUGGACCCAAUCCAGGUUUUGCUGGACAGUAGAGCAAUAUGGCCUCUGAAUCGUCGAGCUUGAAGAUGUUCCACCUGGGCCUGAGCUUCAGGCCCCAGUUCCUGCUCUGAGUCUGGAGACAAAUGGUGCUGCCCCCUGCAGGCAGCUGUAACCAGGGCUGCUGCGGUAAGUCAGCCAAACUGCAUGCUGGGAGCAGGAAGAAGGGCGUGGUGGACCAGUCCCAUUUUUCCAGGCUUUGAUAAUUCCAGAUAAGGCUUACACUAUUAGUGAACUCCCAUAUCAUACUUUCAAAAACCUUGCAGAAAUAGAGGACCAAACUAUGGCUGCAUGAAAUAUCUUGAAUUCAGAAGCAUUAUACUAAAUGCAAAAAAAAAAAGACAGAAAUGGAAGGACGGAGAUCAGAGCACGGGUGGCCAGAGGCUGGAGGGAGGGCAGCAGAUCGAUGCCCUAGAGCAGGAGAGAACUAUUUAAGGUGAAGGAGCCAUUCUGCAUGACAAUGGU
Long non-coding RNA from Manis pentadactyla (Chinese pangolin), 989 nucleotides. RefSeq lists it as uncharacterized. The record is from RefSeq and is a predicted model, not a curated record. Lineage: Eukaryota; Metazoa; Chordata; Mammalia; Pholidota; Manidae. The transcript has 3 exons.